Long non-coding RNA from Neofelis nebulosa (Clouded leopard), 866 nucleotides. RefSeq lists it as uncharacterized. The record is from RefSeq and is a predicted model, not a curated record. The transcript has 2 exons. Lineage: Eukaryota; Metazoa; Chordata; Mammalia; Carnivora; Felidae.
AAUAAGACAGAUAUUAGGUUAACAAUCAUUUUAAAUGUGGCUCAAUUAUCAAAUUCAUUUAAAGGUCCAGAAAUUCGUAAGGUUUAAUAAUCAAUCUUAAACCCAAUCUUGACCGAUCUUACUGUGAAAUUAGCAACAGAAGAUCCAUGAUGACAAGCUGGUCCUGCCCACUCCUGCCAUUAACGAGCUGACCCCCUUCCCUCGCAGCCUUCCCAGAAGACACGGGAUAUCGUCCCACACAGAGCUGCUAUGACUCACAUGCGAGUCCGUACAAAUACAGGAAGAAGUACAUAAAUACUACUCCUCUCCUCAACACCUUUCUUCAAGCUGGUGUUUUCCACCCAUGGUGUCUGCAAAUGGGAAAAACCUUCUCCUGCCAAAAUGCGAAAUGUACAAAAUGAUUAACCUCCAAGGGCGCAGUGUUGCAAAGACCUUGGAGAUGAGAUGCCCGUCUGAGCCUUCAAAGGGCCUCCCCGCAAGACCAAGGAUGCCCACAAAAUGGGAGCAAGUGACAAUGUCACAUCUCUCAGGUCUGCCGCCCUCCUCCCCUGGCAUCUCCUUGUUCCCAUCCCAACGCUCUGACUUUGACCCAGGCUCACUGACACCCCUCGGCCACGCCUACAGAGCCAUGAAGACUGACAGCUCUCGGGGACCACCCACAGGAGCCACAGGUCUGCCUACAUGUGGACAAAGUCUGACUCUGGACCCAACAGCUCCUGCACCCGUUUAUCCAGAAGGACAGCGUCUGCCUCAGGAGGGUGCAAGUCCGCGCUCCAGAAUUGGUGCCCUUUCCCAGGCAAACCAGCUACAAAACUUCGCAGAGUAUCAGACCACACCUGCCCCAUUAAACAGAAAUGUAAAGGAAA